CCUACACAUGCAAGGUCGAGCGAGACCUUCGGGUCUAGCGGCGGACGGGUUAGUACCCCUUGAGGAACGUACCUUUUGCUUCGGAAUAGCCUCGGGAAAUGGGAGUAAUACCGAAUGUGCCCUUUGGGGGAAAGAUUUAUCGGCAAAAGAUCGGCCCGCGUCUGAUUAGAUAGUUGGUGGGGUAAUGGCCUACCAAGUCUGCGAUCAGUAGCUGGUUUGAGAGGAUGAUCAGCAACACUGGGACUGAGACACGGCCCAGACUCCUACGGGAGGCAGCAGUGGGGAAUCUUAGACAAUGGGCGCAAGCCUGAUCUAGCGAUGCCGCGUGAGUGACGAAGGCCUUAGGGUCGUAAAGCUCUUUCGCCAGGGAUGAUAAUGACAGUACCUGGUAAAGAAACCCCGGCUAACUCCGUGCCAGCAGCCGCGGUAAUACGGAGGGGGUUAGCGUUGUUCGGAAUUACUGGGCGUAAAGCGCACGUAGGCGGAUUAGAAAGUUGGGGGUGAAAUCCCAGGGCUCAACCCUGGAACUGCCUCCAAAACUACUAGUCUAGAGUUCGAGAGAGGUGAGUGGAAUUCCGAGUGUAGAGGUGAAAUUCGUA
Molecule: ribosomal RNA, 599 nt
Filed under: uncultured bacterium
Lineage: Bacteria
Description: bacterial SSU rRNA
Rfam family: Bacterial small subunit ribosomal RNA
Source: RNAcentral